UGAAUUAAAUGCAUUUCUUUCUCUCUCAUGCAUCGACACAUCAGCCAAUCAUAUCACUUCCUAUCUCAUUACUUCAUCUCAUCUGCCCUCAAAAACCCAAAACCAGUGGCUAACCCUAAUCCUCCUCAUCCUCACUCUCUCUCACAAACUUGGUAAAACCCUAAAUCUCACAUCACCAUGCCUCCACGCACUAUUCCAGCCAGAGCCAAAGGAAAAGGAAAGGGAAAGGAAGCAGCCGGUACGUCUCAGCAACCACCAGAUGUUCCUUCAAAUGCCUUAGACAUUCUUCAUCCUGCCAUUGCUGCUGAAUUUGAG
Molecule: long non-coding RNA, 315 nt
Filed under: Lathyrus oleraceus (garden pea)
Lineage: Eukaryota; Viridiplantae; Streptophyta; Magnoliopsida; Fabales; Fabaceae
Description: Pisum sativum (pea) long non-coding RNA (PSAT_LNC004603)
Source: RNAcentral